AUAUUCAACACAUCUGUACUUCUCUUCAGCUGACUGAGGUGAAUUCCUUCAAAUCUCGCGCGUCUGUUGCCAGAGCGCGCACGUCGUCAGCGUCAGCGUCUUGCGACAACACGAGGCCUGCUGCAUGAAGCCGUUUUCAGUUUGCUACUCAGAUUGUUCUGUCAGCAGUGGGCGGGACUUACAAGCAGUAAUCCAAUUGGCUGAAAAUGUGAUUAAUAUCUGACAGCCUGUAGCCAAUUUGCAAUCCAUCUGAGAACCAGCGUGAGGACAAGGAGAAGUCUUCUUUGAAUUUUAGGAUCUCUGGGUCAGAACUGCUGGAGGUCAUGAGGAGGUGACAGGAGAAGCAGCUACAGCAGUCUCUUGAACUACUGAACCCUUAUUCCACUGACCUUUUUUCUGGAGUCAGUGGAGCAUACUCCAUUCGCUGCCAUAAUGUUCCUUUGACGAGCUCUUGGACGUGUCUGAUAACGGUACCAGCUCAUGACGGGCCAUUUCUUUUUGAAUGUAUGUUUGAAAAUGAAGUGACUUACAAACUGGAGUGAUCAGUUUGUGCACAAUAAAAGGCUAAAUGUGA
Molecule: long non-coding RNA, 574 nt
Organism: Megalobrama amblycephala (Wuchang bream)
Lineage: Eukaryota; Metazoa; Chordata; Actinopteri; Cypriniformes; Xenocyprididae
Exons: 3
Source: RefSeq, a predicted model, not a curated record